This 115-nucleotide transfer RNA is filed under the name SAR202 cluster bacterium. RNAcentral's name for it is "tRNA-OTHER". It matches the Rfam family "tRNA", at positions 9 to 71 of the family's 71-position model. From Rfam's summary of the family: Transfer RNA (tRNA) molecules are approximately 80 nucleotides in length. Their secondary structure includes four short double-helical elements and three loops (D, anti-codon, and T loops). Lineage: Bacteria; Bacillati; Chloroflexota; Dehalococcoidia. The record is from RNAcentral.
AGCCUAGCCUGGAUAGGGCGACAGCCUUCUAUGGCGACAAUUAAAUUUGCAUAGCAAAUUUAAGGAUUGUCUCAAAGUAAGCUGUAGACCGAGGGUUCAAAUCCCUUCAGGCCCA